CGCACUGCAUCGCAUCCUCGGAAUUGUGGGCACAGCGGAAUAUGCCAACAAUCCCCUCUUCUCUCCAUUUUCUCACAUGGGUUCGGGGAAAUUUCGACGUCAUGUGCACGGCGCGGGGAGAUUUACAACUCACUCUGAGUCCCUGUUGUUCAGGGUACCGGCUCCGUGUCGAUUCUCGUCACCUCGCUCAUGCAUUUGUGUGAGAGUGGCUACAGUCAAGCGAAUCUGUGGUGUUUUGCACAUGGGUCGGUUCAAUGGCAGGGGAAUAUGCUGAAGGCUCGUCCUUCUGAUCGACCGGCAUUGCCUUCCUUGUCCAAUUACGUCUCCGUAUUCCUCUUCCACGAACAUAUUCGGAGCGAUUAGCAACUGCUGACGAAAGGUCACAGAAAACGAGACUUCCCGGUUUUCGAAGCGCGCUUGAUGAGACGCACAAGCAUUGUAACAUGGGUGAUAAAGAUGGCGGAAUCCAGAUCCCGUUUAGGUCUUGAUUUCAGCAGAAUGGUUGAGGAGAACCCGUGUGCGAAGAUGGAGGUGAUGAGGCAGAUUAGAUAGAACUGAUAGGUCGUCGUUAGUACUCGGGAGUUAUAUUCAGUUCCACGAAGAGGCCCUCUGCCGAGUGGUUAUGGGCUUUCCGAUUCAGUACAUUCAUACGCAUUCGUUGUGGUGGUUUUCUAAGCUCAAGGAAUAAUACGGCACAGCAAAUCCAACAACAAAUUGUGGUAAAGCGGAUACUGGGUGAUAUCUAUCUUCUCCAGUGGCAUGCCACAGUUUGUCCGUGCGAUUUUAUACGAACAUUUGCUACAGUGCGUUACGUUGGGGAGUAUUAAUUCUGAACUGGGUUCAGCCAUUGACCACAGAGGAGGCCAAGACUAUAUUGCUCCAAUGUGCAUGGGUUCGAUUAUACUCCGGAACCGUGAGAGGUCUGUGAGAAGGUUCAUAAUUUUCAUCUCAAGUGAGGAAACAACAAUCAUGAAGGCGAAGAUGAAGAUCCUUUCGGGCGGCAGGAAGCAAGCACUCCUCGUAGCAGAAACAUUCCACAUCACACCACCUCUUCGUCAAGUAUAAAACCUGUUGGAUUAUUCUCGUGUGACUGUGGAGCAUUCUGCAGUCAUCGUCUUCCGAAUUCUGCUUCUGGGGAUACUUAAACCUCUUGCAGAUUGUACCCUCCAAUUGCCUGAGGUUGCCAGCACCCAAGCUCACCAUAUUAACUAGUCAGAUGAUCUCUAUCCCAGAGAAGGGGGUUGAAGCAGCAGCAGCAGCAGCACCAACUUUACUCUGCAAUCGGAGUUGCGAAAUGUUUGUUAGUGCGUUAGAGCUAAAUCAAAAGGCUUGUGCGCUUGACGUCUAAGAGAAUAAAAAGAUAGUGCGAUCUUGCUGGAUGGCAUGAAAACGAGUAACUACGAAGCCAUGAGUGAUCGUCAGUGAAUUCGGUCCAAAAUGAAAAGCUCCAGUAAUCGUGCGAUGAACGCCGAAAUAUUGGCGAAAUCUCUGCAGCAGGAGAACGAUAUUCUUCGUUUUCAGCUCAAUGACCUAAUCAACCGGGAGCAAAAUCAAAGACUUGAGCUCCAAAGACUGCGAGCGCAUCGAGAAGUGGAAAUGACUUCUCUGGUGAACGCAUCUACAAAUAAAUUGAAAUGCGAGGUAGAGCGCCUAAAGGCACAGUUAGAGCCUGCAUCUGCAAGU
Non-coding RNA from Physcomitrium patens, 1683 nucleotides. NCBI's taxonomy places the organism in Eukaryota, Viridiplantae, Streptophyta, Bryopsida, Funariales, Funariaceae. The record is from RefSeq and is a predicted model, not a curated record.